UAGGGAAUCUUCCACAAUGGGCGCAAGCCUGAUGGAGCAACACCGCGUGAGUGAAGAAGGGUUUCGGCUCGUAAAACUCUGUUGGUAGAGAAGAACGUUGGUGAGAGUGGAAAGCUCAUCAAGUGACGGUAACUACCCAGAAAGGGACGGCUAACUACGUGCCGG
RNAcentral lists this ribosomal RNA (165 nucleotides) under uncultured bacterium. Its description in RNAcentral is "partial 16S ribosomal RNA". It matches the Rfam family "Bacterial small subunit ribosomal RNA", at positions 355 to 511 of the family's 1533-position model. The record is from RNAcentral.